UUUUUUUGUUGUUGUACAUAAAUAAAGCCAUAAGUUGACUUGUUCGAAUUGUGUUACAUUGUCUUUUCGGGGCCUUUAAUAGCAGACUAUGCGGUAUUGGCAUUGCUCACUGUUAAAGGCCGAAUGGUUAGCUGAUAAAUGUUAAUUUCUAUGUCAUUUGGUUUCAUGUAGAGAGCUAUCUCAUUGACACUCGUACCACUUCUUCCUAUUAUUAUAUAUAUGUUCAGGACGAGAAGCAUGCCACAUACCAUCUAUAGACCACCGUCAAAGAGUUGUUACAAGGGCUAUCAACGUACCAAGAGCACGGAAUAAUUUCUACACGAGGCAUCAGAUUAAACGACCCCAUUCUGACCAGACGUGGAUGCGUACUUGUACAUCCCGCACAGCAAAACGGAUGCCCCACUUUUGCUACGGUUUUCGGGGAGGUAGUCCAAUGGAGACCAUUUUUUCCAAUCACCAGUCAC
Molecule: long non-coding RNA, 464 nt
Filed under: Mytilus galloprovincialis (Mediterranean mussel)
Lineage: Eukaryota; Metazoa; Mollusca; Bivalvia; Mytilida; Mytilidae
Source: RNAcentral